This 1209-nucleotide ribosomal RNA is filed under the name Triticum aestivum (bread wheat). Its description in RNAcentral is "partial small subunit ribosomal RNA". The record is from RNAcentral. Lineage: Eukaryota; Viridiplantae; Streptophyta; Magnoliopsida; Poales; Poaceae.
AUGGCUGACGGGGACUCGGCGGCGGCCUACGCGUCGCCGCGCUCGCCGCUGCCCCCGGAGACGCCGUCCACGCAGAAGCGGCGGCAGCGCGGCCUCGUCUCGCGGGUCUGGAAGGGCAUCUUCGGCCGCCGCGAGGACGUCGAGAAGCUGCUGCAAGCGCUCUCCAAGGAGGAGGAGGCCCUCCGCUCCCGCGUCCACCGUCGCGCCCGCGCCUCCCGCGCCUCCGCCCACAACGUCCUCGCCCUCGCCUCCGCCCUCGAGAUCGCGGCUGUUGGAUAUGCGAUUAUGACUACCAGAUCCCCAGACAUCCCCUGGCAGAUGAGGGCAGCCCGGGUGCUGCCCAUGUUCUUGGUUCCUGCUUUAGCUGCUCUCAUCUACUCAGCUAUUACAAGCAUUGCGAAAUUCCUUGAUAAUAGAGAUCAACAUACUCUUGAAAAGCUUCGUGCUGAAAGGCAGGCCAAGAUUGAUGAGUUGAAAGAAAGAACAAACUACUACACUACCCAGCAACUUAUACAGAGAUAUGAUCUUGACCCUGCUGCAAAGGCAGCUGCAGCAAGUGUUUUGGCAUCUAAGCUGGGUGCGGAUUCUGGAUUGAGAGUCUUUUUGGGAGAUGAGUCGAACGUGGAUGGAAGUAAAAGUAAUGAUCAGCACGGACAGACUUCUGGUCUGAGGCAAAGAAAACCGGCCCACUCAGGCCAUGGCUCUGGACCGACCCAUCCCUCUGAGCCAUCAGACGGCUCGAGUAUAUAUGACGGUAACGAAAGCCCCACUGCAAAUCGGACUGUUGAGCACUUCAGAGGCCAUGCUGGCAAUGAUGGCGGAUGGCUCGCACGAGUGGCCGCUCUGCUUGUAGGGGAGGAUCCAACACAAUGCUUUGCGCUGAUAUGUGGCAACUGCCAUAUGCAUAAUGGUCUUGCAAGGAAAGAGGACUUUGCGUUCGUUACGUACUACUGUCCUCACUGCAAUGCUCUCAACGGACCGCGGCAACACGAGGACGGUGAAAGCGUCCAAGCCGGCGCCAGCCUUGCGGACUCAGGCGUCAGCAGUCCUGUUGGGAGGAGCUUGCCGACCGUCGAAGAACAGCCUGCAGAAAGUCCUGCUGCCAGUAACUCAACGGUCACCGAAAAACCUCAGGCGGAGAGUUCUGCUGCUACAAAUAGCUCAUCACCAACUGUGGAGAAGGCAGGCAGCGAUCAGCCUGCCGGAUGA